Molecule: ribosomal RNA, 497 nt
Filed under: uncultured bacterium
Lineage: Bacteria
Description: bacterial SSU rRNA
Rfam family: Bacterial small subunit ribosomal RNA
Source: RNAcentral
AACGAACGCUGGCGGCGCGCCUAAUACAUGCAAGUCGAACGAGAAGCUGUAGCAAUACAGUUGUACAGUGGCGAACGGGUGAGGAAUACAUGGGUGACCUACCCUCGAGUGGGGAAUAACCAGCCGAAAGGUUGGCUAAUACCGCGUACGCUUCCCAGUCUACGGGUUGGGAAGGAAAGCGAUGCCGUGGGUAUCGCGCUCAAGGUUGGGCUCAUGUCCUAUCAGCUUGUGGUGGGGUAACGGCUCACCAAGGCAACGACGGGUAGCUGGUCUGAGAGGACGAUCAGCCACACUGGCACUGCGACACGGGCCAGACUCCUACGGGAGGCAGCAGUAAGGAAUAUUGCGCAAUGGGCGAAAGCCUGACGCAGCGACGCCGCGUGGGGGAUGAAGGUCUUCGGAUUGUAAACCCCUUUCGGGAGGGAAGAUGGACGAGCAAUCGUUCGGACGGUACCUCCAGAAGCAGCCACGGCUAACUUCGUGCCAGCCGCCGCCGU